Molecule: long non-coding RNA, 2681 nt
Filed under: Musa acuminata (dwarf banana)
Lineage: Eukaryota; Viridiplantae; Streptophyta; Magnoliopsida; Zingiberales; Musaceae
Description: long non-coding RNA (MACU_LNC003942)
Source: RNAcentral
UCGGCUCGAUCCUGAUCGAAGGCUAGAUAAGUAGUAUCUGACGUGCUCACCGUCAGAUGCUUCAAUCCGACGGCCUGGAUAGAAACCCUAGGCUGGGUUUUCGGCCGUCGAUAUAAGAUGGGCGACAUGGGCGUCGUUGAAACCCUGUUGAUUCUCUCGGCUGCCGGCUCUCCGCUGUUGAUUCUCUCGUCAUCCGGUGAGAUUUGUCGGUCCUGGGUGAUCGUUUGCUGUUUCGGGUUCAACGUGGCCGUUCGUUGUAUUGGAAUCGUAGUUGAAUGAUAGAGCUUGGGCUAGCAGUUUUACAUGUGUUACAAUGAAUUGGGUCGACCAUCCGCUCGUCUUUUUCUUCGUCUUUAAGUUGAAGGGUGUCGGAUCUACUUUCUAUUGCUCUGAUGGUCUUUGGUUUGCUUUCCUUACUGAAUCAUUCAUGUUCUGGCCAUUUUUUUCCCUGCUGUUGUUGCAUGUUGUGCACACAUAAGUAGUUCUUAUCUUUGAAACUGAAGUAAAAAAAGAUAAUUUUUUCAUGUUAGCAUACCGGUCACCGAGCACAUGUAUCUCAGGAAGCAAAACUGAAGGAAAAAUAUCAUUUUUUUUAUUUAUUAUUUUCAUGUUAGUAUGCUGGUCACCGUGCAUAUGUAUCUCAGGAAGCUUUGCCUCUGCUUUCAGCUGCAAGUAUUUUUGACUGAGUUAUUAUUUGUGGCUUUGUCCUAGAGGCAUACAAUAAGGAUCGAUGAGGAGGUUUUCAUGUCCUGCGUUCCAUUCUGGUUGCCUCAGGAUAUCAUUACUACCUUACAUAUAUGCAGGAUUGCAUUCAUCGUAUGCUUUAGUUAAUUGUUUGGUUUUUUUUAUUAUUUUUGGGGAGAACUGAUUGCUGGAGUUAGUACACUAGCCACAGCUUGAAUAUGCGAUGUCAUAAAGUCUGCCAGUGUUCGGAAUUGUUUAUAUCAUUACCCUCUACAUAUUUACAGGAACAUGUUCGUUUUAUGUUUGAGUUUAUGUUAUGGAUCAAUGCCACUGUAAAACUGAUUUUUGGAGUUAGUCUAUUCAGCCCCGAUUUUGAUAUGCAAAGGCAUAAAGUCUGUGAAAUUUUGGGAAUUCUUUCUGGUGUUGCCAGUGAUGAUAGAUUAACUUCAUAUUUUCCAUUUCUUGUCUUUGUAAUAUCAAGAAACAAGUCACUUGGCAAAUGAAAAUGAUUCUUUUGCUAUUUGAGACACGCUCAAAUGUAAUAUUUGUUUCCAACUACUUGAUGCUUGUCUUUAAAGUAAAUUUCUUUUUAAAAAAAUGUUUUCUUCGCUGUUAAUUUAUUUCAUUUUUGAUCUUCUCUUAUCAUAUUCUUGCCUUCCAGCCAUCAUGGGUAAGGAAAAGGUACACAUAAACAUUGUGGUCAUCGGCCAUGUCGACUCUGGGAAGUCAACCACCACCGGCCAUCUCAUUUACAAGUUGGGCGGCAUUGACAAGCGUGUAAUUGAAAGGUUUGAAAAGGAGGCAGCAGAAAUGAACAAGAGGUAAUUCAAGUACGCUUGGGUUCUUGAUAAGCUUAAGGCUGAGCGGGAGCGUGGUAUCACCAUCGAUAUUGCACUUUGGAAGUUUGAGACCACAAAAUACUACUGUACAGUGAUUGAUGCUCCUGGGCAUCGUGACUUUAUCAAGAACAUGAUCACAGGAACCUCUCAGGCUGACUGUGCUGUUCUCAGUAUAGAUUCUACUACAGGUGGUUUUGAGGCAGGUAUUUCAAAGGAUGGUCAGACAAGGGAACAUGCCCUUCUUGCAUUCACUCUCGGUGUCAAACAGAUGAUUUGCUGCUGCAAUAAGGUAAUCUUGAGAAGUCCUUAGGACCGUAGUUAAAAUUAAUAAUUUAUGUUAUACGACAGUUAAUACUUAAUUUGUUGUGUCAACACAUGGUUUAUACAUUUUUUAUAUUGUUUUUCUUGUUCUCAUUCAUCAAAUGUUAUCUAUGUUGUUCAGAGCUCCCAUCAUGUAACUUUAUGCUCUAGGGUUUUAAUGUGAAGUUUCCUUUCACAUCUAUUAUCGUGUCAAAUAUUCUGCUAGCCCGUAUUUAUUAGAAGUUUCAAGUGCUUUUGUUGACAUUUAUUUUAUUCAAACACUAUCUUGAUUGUGGUAAUUCUUCUAUUAACCUACCUUCAUGGCAUUUUUGGGGCAAAACUAUGACCAUUUUAAGGUGUGGUGGCAUUCGAUUUUUGGAUCUCACUUCUGUUUCUACUUUGUCCUAACAGAAUUGUUUACAUCAGAUGUUUUAUAUAUGCCACCACUUCAUUUUCUUCAGUAUGUAUCCUAUAUAUCUGUUGUGCUACUUCGUUUGAGAAACUGGAAAUGCAGUUUCUUUUUUUGGAUUGUAAAUUAAAUUUGUUAUUGAAUGAUUAAUAAAUUUUGUAGGUCUUCCUUUUUCUUUAACUUUAAUUUUGUUGAAUGUGUUACUUAAUCUGAGUUUGAGCUAUUUGUUAUCGCUUGCAGUUAUUUUGGCAAAGAAUGUGUUUUAAUGAACUUCAUGCGUUUAUAAAUUAUUCUUUUCCAUUUCAUAAUAGAUGGAUGCCACCACACCAAAGUACUCCAAGGCUAGAUAUGAUGAGAUUGUGAAGGAGGUUUCUUCUUACCUGAAGAAAAUUGGAUACAAUCCUGACAAGAUUCCCUUUGUUCCCAUUUCUGGUUUUGAAGGUGAUAAC